UUUUAAAUGUUAUUUUUUUCUGUUUUAGAUGUUAUUUUGCUGUUAAAUGUUGUUUGUUUUUGUCGUUUACAGAAUAUAUUAACGGUGACGUUUGAAGCAGAGGGCAGCGUCUCUGAGGACAGUUUAAAUGUGUUUAUUCAGAAUCUUUUAUGGGAGAAGAUGUUUAAGAAUAAAGCGGGUUUAGCUAUGAACGUUAUUCGCUUAAAGGUCGUAAUCUGGAUGGAGAGAUUUUGAAGAGGGAGUUCCUCGCUCUGCUCUCGGACGACAGGAAUGAAUGAAGGAAUAAUAAAGUGAAAUUGCUGAUCUGGGGUCA
RNAcentral lists this long non-coding RNA (313 nucleotides) under Astyanax mexicanus (Mexican tetra). RNAcentral's name for it is "lncRNA (ENSAMXG00005005055.1)". Lineage: Eukaryota; Metazoa; Chordata; Actinopteri; Characiformes; Acestrorhamphidae. The record is from RNAcentral.